UUUUCAAAAACAUGUCCUUUAGAAUUGAAUUGAAGGUCUGACCUGCCCACUGAUUUAUUAAAUGGCCGCAGUAUUUUAACUGUGCAAAGGUAGCAUAAUCAUUAGUCUUUUAAUUGGAGGCUUGUAUGAAUGGUUGGACAAAAUAUAUAUUGUUUCAUAUAAAUUUAUAGAAUUUUAUUUUUUAGUUAAAAAGCUAAAAUUCAUUUAAAAGACGAGAAGACCCUAUAGAUCUUUAUAAUUAUUAAAUUUUAUUUAUUAAGAAUAUUUUAUAUUUAAUUUAAAAAAUUAUUUUAUUGGGGUGAUAGUAAAAUUUAGUUAACUUUUACAUAAUUAAUUACAUUAGUUUAUGAUUAGUUGAUCCAGUAGUAUUGAUUAGUAAAUUAAGUUACCUUAGGGAUAACAGCGUAAUUUUUUUAGAGAGUUCAUAUCGAUAAAAAAGAUUGCGACCUCGAUGUUGGAUUAAGAUAUACAUUUAGGUGUAGCCGUUUAAAUGUUAAGUCUGUUCGACUUUUUAAUUCUUACAUGAUCUGAGUUCAAACC
RNAcentral lists this ribosomal RNA (540 nucleotides) under Moegistorhynchus brevirostris. RNAcentral describes it as "partial large subunit ribosomal RNA". It matches the Rfam family "Bacterial large subunit ribosomal RNA", at positions 1804 to 2617 of the family's 2925-position model. Lineage: Eukaryota; Metazoa; Arthropoda; Insecta; Diptera; Nemestrinidae. The record is from RNAcentral.